AUUGAACGCUGGCGGCAGGCCUAACACAUGCAAGUCGAGCGGAUGAAGGGAGCUUGCUCCUUGAUUCAGCGGCGGACGGGUGAGUAAUGCCUAGGAAUCUGCCUGGUUGUGGGGGAUAACGUCCGGAAACGGGCGCUAAUACCGCAUAAGCCCUGAGGGAGUACGGGGGGGAUCAUCGGACCUCACGCUAUCAGAUGAGCCUAGGUCGGAUUAGCUAGUUGGUGGGGUAAAGGCCUACCAAGGCGACGAUCCGUAGCUGGUCUGAGAGGAUGAUCAGCCACACUGGAACUGAGACACGGUCCAGACUCCUACGGGAGGCAGCAGUGGGGAAUAUUGGACAAUGGGCGGAAGCCUGAUCCAGCCAUGCCGCGUGUGUGAAGAAGGUCUUCGGAUUGUAAAGCACUUUAAUUUGGGAGGAAAAGCAGUAAGUUAAUACCUUGCUGUUUUGACGUUACCAACAGAAUAAGCACCGGCUAACUUCGUG
This 484-nucleotide ribosomal RNA is filed under the name uncultured bacterium. RNAcentral describes it as "partial 16S ribosomal RNA". It matches the Rfam family "Bacterial small subunit ribosomal RNA", at positions 30 to 507 of the family's 1533-position model. The record is from RNAcentral.